Molecule: ribosomal RNA, 351 nt
Filed under: uncultured bacterium
Lineage: Bacteria
Description: bacterial SSU rRNA
Rfam family: Bacterial small subunit ribosomal RNA
Source: RNAcentral
AGAGUUUGAUCCUGGCUCAGGAUGAACGCUAGCUACAGGCUUAACACAUGCAAGUCGAGGGGAAACGACAUCGAAAGCUUGCUUUUGAUGGGCGUCGACCGGCGCACGGGUGAGUAACGCGUAUCCAACCUUCCGUACACUCAGGGAUAGCCUUUCGAAAGAAAGAUUAAUACCUGAUGGUAUGAUGAAAUUGCAUGAUAGCAUCAUUAAAGAUUUAUCGGUGUACGAUGGGGAUGCGUUCCAUUAGGUAGUAGGCGGGGUAACGGCCACUAGCCUACGAUGGAUAGGGGUUCUGAGAGGAAGGUCCCCCANAUUGGAACUGAGACACGGUCCAAACUCCGUACGGGAGCA